AGGACGAACGCUGGCGGCGUGCUUAACACAUGCAAGUCGAGCGGAAAGGCCCUUCGGGGUACUCGAGCGGCGAACGGGUGAGUAACACGUGAGUAAUCUGCCCCUAGCUCUGGGAUAGCUCCGGGAAACCGGGAUUAAUACCAGAUACGACCACUUUAGACAUCUGUUGUGGUGGAAAGAAUUUCGGCUAGGGAUGAGCUCGCGGCCUAUCAGCUUGUUGGUGAGGUAACGGCUCACCAAGGCGACGACGGGU
This 253-nucleotide ribosomal RNA is filed under the name uncultured bacterium. RNAcentral describes it as "partial small subunit ribosomal RNA". It matches the Rfam family "Bacterial small subunit ribosomal RNA", at positions 26 to 284 of the family's 1533-position model. The record is from RNAcentral.